GCCGGGAUAGCUCAGCUGGGAGAGCAACAGACUGAAGCUCUUCGUAUAGAAUUGCCUUCUGGAGGUCCCGUGUUCAAUCCACGGUCCUGGCA
Molecule: transfer RNA, 92 nt
Filed under: Dentipellis fragilis
Lineage: Eukaryota; Fungi; Basidiomycota; Agaricomycetes; Russulales; Hericiaceae
Also listed under: 1 other name
Rfam family: tRNA
About the family: Transfer RNA (tRNA) molecules are approximately 80 nucleotides in length.
Source: Rfam by way of RNAcentral